UACGGAGGAUGCAAGCGUUAUCCGGAUUUAUUGGGUUUAAAGGGUGCGUAGGCGGAUAUGUAAGUCAGCGGUGAAACUCACAGGCUCAACCUGUGCCGUGCCGUUGAAACUGUGUAUCUGGAAUGCCGAUGCUGUGGGAGGAAUGUGUAGUGUAGCGGUGAAAUGCAUAGAUAUUACACAGAACACCGAUUGCGAAGGCAUCUCACAAAGCCGUUAUUGACGCUGAGGCACGAAAGUGUGGGGAUCAAA
This 249-nucleotide ribosomal RNA is filed under the name uncultured prokaryote. RNAcentral describes it as "partial 16S ribosomal RNA". It matches the Rfam family "Bacterial small subunit ribosomal RNA", at positions 524 to 772 of the family's 1533-position model. The record is from RNAcentral.